UGUCUGUCACAACGGCUUCCUGGCGUGACAGAUGAAAUCUAACGGAGCA
RNAcentral lists this non-coding RNA (49 nucleotides) under Thalassovita sp. RNAcentral's name for it is "Thalassobius sp. SAM-SAH sequence". It matches the Rfam family "SAM/SAH riboswitch aptamer". The record is from RNAcentral. Lineage: Bacteria; Pseudomonadati; Pseudomonadota; Alphaproteobacteria; Rhodobacterales; Roseobacteraceae.